CGUGAACCCGGGAGGCGGAGCUUGCAGUGAGCCGAGAUCCCGCCACUGCACUCCAGCCUGGGCGACAGAGCGAGACUCCGUCUCAAAAAAAAAAAAAAAAAAAAUGGGCUGGGCGUGGUGGUACACACCUGUAAUCCCAGCUACCCAGGAGGCUGAGGCAGGAGGAUUGCUUGAACCCAGGAGGCAGAGGUUGCAGUGAGCCAAGAUCGUGCCAUUGCACUCCAGCCUGGGCGACAAGAGUGAAACCCCAUCUCAAAAAAAAAAAAAAGAAAAAAAAACUAAUAAAUUAUUACUUCAUAUGAAUUCUUGGCACAUGUAAGUACCUGAUAAAUGUUAGAUGUUAUUUUAAGUGUUAGCAAACGAUUCUAGGGAGUUUCCUCUGUGACUUGAGAAUCUGAUUCUGGGUAUCUUAGGCUCCGUUGUUUCUACUCCCUCCUAAAACAACAACUAAAGGAACAAGAUUGCAGACAGCGUGGGAAGCUUUCUCGUGUGACCACCUAGCAGCGGGGAGGAGGCCUGGGAUGUGUGCCUGGAUCCUAGUGCUCUUGUGUGGGGCUUCGGUGGGCUCUGCUGUGAGGUCCUGGUGCUCCUUUUUGUGAUUCAGGUCUCCUUGGUGUACCUGUCUGAAUCUCACCUCCAGCAUCCAUCUGAUUCCUGGCAUAGACUGAACACCACUGUACCACUAUGAUGACCUCUGGUUCUUAACUCAGCUACCUCCCUAAUCCUCUAUAGUGUGUGUGGUGACCUCUGGGUCCCAGCCAAGGGAAGCUAAGAAGGCAUGACUAAGGCCCAUUUACACCUAACCACCAUGAACCAUCAUUUUUAAUUUGCCGAGCCCUGUCCUGCCCUUCCCUUCUCUUCCGUCUUUUCUUUUCUUUUUCUUUCUUUCCUUCCUUCCUUCCUCUCUCUCUCUCCUUCCUUCCUUCCUUCCUUCCUUCCUUCCUUCCUUUCUUUCUUUCUUUCUCUUUCCUUCUCUUUCUUCCUUCCUUCCUUCCUUCCUUCCUUCCUUCCUUCCUUCCCUCCCUCCCUCCCUCCCUCCCUCCCUCCCUCCCUCUUUCUUUCUUUCUUUCUUUCUUUCUUUCUUUCUUUCUUUCUUUCUUUCUUUCUUUCCUUUCUUUCUUUCUUUCUUUCUUUUCUUUCUUUCUUUCUUUCUUUCUUUCUUCUUUUUUGAGAUAGGGUCUCAUUGUGUCACCCAUGCCGGAGUGCAGUGGCAUGAUCAUGCCUCACAGCAACCUCAACCUCCCUGGCUCAAGUAAUUCUUCCACCUCAGCCUCCCGAGUAGCAGGGACUACAGGUGCACACCAUCGCACCUGGCUAAUUUUUGUGUUUUUUUUGGAGAGAUGGGGUUUCUCUAUGUUGCCCAGGCUGGUCUUGAACUCCUGGGCUCAAGCAAUUAGCCCGCCUUGGCCUCCCAAAGUGCUGGGAUUUACAAGCAUGAGCCAUCACACCCAGACUGAAAGAGAAUUUUCUAAGUCACAGACAAAUAAAAACUUUAUUCACUACACUACAGGAAAAACUGAAUUGCCUUUCUAUUCUCUCUUCAGAAAAUGAUAUCCCCAAAUUGGCAUAAUAUGAAGAGUCAAAGACCAUACAGUGAAAAGAUCAGAAAAAAUGGUUUAGGCUGGGCGAGUUGGCUCAUGCUUAUAAUCCCAGCACUUUGGGAGGCCGAGGUGGGCGGAUCACUUGAGGUCAGGAGUUCGAGAGCAGCCUGGCCAACAUGGUGAAACCCUGUCUCUACUAAAAAUACAAAAAUGAGCCGGGCAUGGUGGUGCACACCUGUAAUCUCAGCUAUGUGGGAGGCUGAGGCAGGAGAAUCACUUGAACCUGGAAGGGAGAGGUUGCAGUGAGCUGAGAUCACACCACUGUACUGCAGCCUGGGCAAAAGAGCUGAGAAGACUCUGUCUCAAACAAAAAAAAAAAAAAGAAAGAAAAUGUGGUAUUAGAAAGGUAUGCUAUGAAGUUAAUAAAUAAAAAAAUUAUUUUUCUGUAUUGUAG
Molecule: long non-coding RNA, 1995 nt
Filed under: Homo sapiens (human)
Lineage: Eukaryota; Metazoa; Chordata; Mammalia; Primates; Hominidae
Description: HSALNT0301815
Source: RNAcentral